Long non-coding RNA from Hibiscus syriacus, 192 nucleotides. RefSeq lists it as uncharacterized. NCBI's taxonomy places the organism in Eukaryota, Viridiplantae, Streptophyta, Magnoliopsida, Malvales, Malvaceae. The record is from RefSeq and is a predicted model, not a curated record. The transcript is spliced from 3 exons.
UUUAGGUUGUGCAAUGGAGUUGGAUUUCAAUGCCGGUUGAUGCUGAGUUUUGGUGAAGUUGAAGAGGAUCAAAGAGAGGGUUCUUCCGAUAAAUGCUCUCUCUAUAUCUCCCUUUAAAUUUGCUUCCUUUUUCAUGUCUUCUCCCUCUUUAUUCUCUCCCCCUUCACUCCCUUUUAUGUCUGGAUUUUUGUU